This 442-nucleotide ribosomal RNA is filed under the name Mammaliicoccus sciuri. RNAcentral's name for it is "bacterial SSU rRNA". It matches the Rfam family "Bacterial small subunit ribosomal RNA", at positions 35 to 465 of the family's 1533-position model. The record is from RNAcentral. Lineage: Bacteria; Bacillati; Bacillota; Bacilli; Caryophanales; Staphylococcaceae.
GCUGGCGGCGUGCCUAAUACAUGCAAGUCGAGCGAACAGAUGAGAAGCUUGCUUCUCUGAUGUUAGCGGCGGACGGGUGAGUAACACGUGGGUAACCUACCUAUAAGACUGGGAUAACUCCGGGAAACCGGGGCUAAUACCGGAUAAUAUUUUGAACCGCAUGGUUCAAUAGUGAAAGACGGUUUCGGCUGUCACUUAUAGAUGGACCCGCGCCGUAUUAGCUAGUUGGUAAGGUAACGGCUUACCAAGGCGACGAUACGUAGCCGACCUGAGAGGGUGAUCGGCCACACUGGAACUGAGACACGGUCCNNACUCCUGCGGGAGGCAGCAGUAGGGAAUCUUCCGCAAUGGGCGAAAGCCUGACGGAGCAACGCCGCGUGAGUGAUGAAGGUCUUCGGAUCGUAAAACUCUGUUGUUAGGGAAGAACAAAUUUGUUAGUAAC